GCAGUGCGGCUGCUACCAUGCAGUCGACGAAGAGGCCCCUUCGGGGGUACUUCAGUGGCGGACGGGUGAGUAACACGUAGGUGACCUGCCCCGAAGUGUGGAAUAACAGUCCGAAAGGAUUGCUAAUACCGCAUGUGGUCUGUGAGGUUAGAGUCUUGCAGACUAAAGCAGUAAUGUGCUUCGGGAGGGGCCUGCGCCCCAUCAGCUAGUUGGUAGGGUAAUGGCCUACCAAGGCAACAACGGGUAGGGGGCCUGAGAGGGUGACCCCCCACAUUGGCACUGACACACGGGCCAAACUCCUACGGGAGGCAGCAGUGAGGAAUAUUGCUCAAUGGGCGAAAGCCUGAAGCAGCAACGCCGCGUGCGCGAUGAAGGCCUUCGGGUCGUAAAGCGCUUUUGAGAGGGACGAGAUAGGACGGCACCUCUGGAAUAAGUCACGGCUAACUACGUGCCAGCAGCCGCGGUAAAACGUAGGUGGCAAGCGUUAUCCGGAUUCACUGGGCGUAAAGCGCGUGCAGGUGGCUUCGUAAGUUGGACGUUAAAUCUCCCGGCCUAACCAGGAGGAGUCGUUCAAUACUGCGGGGCUGGAGGGCAGAAGAGGGGGGUGGAAUUGCUGGUGUAGUGGUGAAAUGCGUAGAUAUCAGCAGGAACACCUGUGGCGAAAGCGGCCCCCUGGUCUGCUCCUGACACUCAGACGCGAAAGCUAGGGGAGUGAACGGGAUUAGAAACCCCGGUAAUCCUAGCCGUAAACGAUGGAUGCUAGGUGUGGGUGGUAUUGACCCCAUCCGUGCCGAAGCUAACGCGUUAAGCAUCCCGCCUGGGGACUACGGCCGCAAGGUUAAAACUCAAAGGAAUUGACGG
This 861-nucleotide ribosomal RNA is filed under the name uncultured Chloroflexota bacterium. RNAcentral's name for it is "bacterial SSU rRNA". It matches the Rfam family "Bacterial small subunit ribosomal RNA", at positions 39 to 916 of the family's 1533-position model. Lineage: Bacteria; Bacillati; Chloroflexota. The record is from RNAcentral.